GGACUACCCGGGUAUCUAAUCCUGUUCGCUCCCCACGCUUUCGCUCCUCAGCGUCAGUAUCGGCCCAGAGACCCGCCUUCGCCACCGGUGUUCCUCCUGAUAUCUGCGCAUUUCACCGCUACACCAGGAAUUCCAGUCUCCCCUACCGAACUCUAGUCUGCCCGUAUCGAAUGCAGGCUCGGGGUUGAGCCCCGAGUUUUCACAUCCGACGCGACAGACCGCCUACGAGCUCUUUACGCCCAAUAAUUCCGGACAACGCUCGCACCCUACGUAUUACCGCGGCGGCUGGCAC
This 292-nucleotide ribosomal RNA is filed under the name uncultured bacterium. Its description in RNAcentral is "partial 16S ribosomal RNA". The record is from RNAcentral.